RNAcentral lists this ribosomal RNA (412 nucleotides) under uncultured bacterium. RNAcentral describes it as "bacterial SSU rRNA". It matches the Rfam family "Bacterial small subunit ribosomal RNA", at positions 359 to 771 of the family's 1533-position model. The record is from RNAcentral.
GAAUAUUGCACAAUGGGGGAAACCCUGAUGCAGCGACGCCGCGUGAGUGAAGAAGUAUUUCGGUACGUAAAGCUCUAUCAGCAGGGAAGAAAGAAAGUCCUUUGGACUUUGGACGGUACCUGACCAAGAAGCCCCGGCUAACUACGUGCCAGCAGCCGCGGUAAUCCGUGGGGGGCAAGCGUUAUCCGGAUUUACUGGGUGUAAAGGGGGCGUAGACGGCAGCGCAAGUCUGGAGUGACAUGCCGGGGCUCAACCCCGGAACUGCUUUGGAAACUGUGCAGCUAGAGUGCGGGAGAGGUAAGCGGAAUUCCUAGUGUAGCGGUGAAAUGCGUAGAUAUUAGGAGGAACACCAGUGGCGAAGGCGGCUUGCUGGACCGUAACUGACGUUGAGGCUCGAAAGCGUGGGGAGCAA